GGCUCCAUAGUGUAGUGGUUAGCAUGUUUGUUUUACUCACAGAAAGUCCUGGGUUCAUGACCCAGGUGGAGCCA
RNAcentral lists this transfer RNA (74 nucleotides) under Pteropus alecto (black flying fox). It matches the Rfam family "tRNA". From Rfam's summary of the family: Transfer RNA (tRNA) molecules are approximately 80 nucleotides in length. Their secondary structure includes four short double-helical elements and three loops (D, anti-codon, and T loops). Further hydrogen bonds mediate the characteristic L-shaped molecular structure. tRNAs have two regions of fundamental functional importance: the anti-codon, which is responsible for specific mRNA codon recognition, and the 3' end, to which the tRNAs corresponding amino acid is attached (by aminoacyl-tRNA synthetases). tRNAs cope with the degeneracy of the genetic code in two manners: having more than one tRNA (with a specific anti-codon) for a particular amino acid; and 'wobble' base-pairing, i.e. permitting non-standard base-pairing at the 3rd anti-codon position. The record is from Rfam by way of RNAcentral. Lineage: Eukaryota; Metazoa; Chordata; Mammalia; Chiroptera; Pteropodidae.